GCGGCCGUAGUCCAGUGGUUAAGAUGCGAGCCUUCCAAGCUUGUGACCCGGGUUCGAAUCCCGGCGGCCGCACCA
This 75-nucleotide transfer RNA is filed under the name Candidatus Aenigmatarchaeota archaeon. RNAcentral's name for it is "tRNA-Gly". It matches the Rfam family "tRNA". From Rfam's summary of the family: Transfer RNA (tRNA) molecules are approximately 80 nucleotides in length. Lineage: Archaea; Nanobdellati; Candidatus Aenigmatarchaeota. The record is from RNAcentral.